CACCGCCCCAGCACCGCACCCCCUGCCCGCCUCCCCGGGUGGAAGGCAGCGGGGGCUCCCCGCCCCGCCGCUGCGCAGCCCAGCGGGGUUCACGGGUCGUUAGAAACGACAGUGGGUUACACGAAAUCAAGAAAAUAUGAAAUAGUUAUGAAAUAAAAGGUCGUGGGGGGGUGCAAAGCUGGCACGCCGGCUGGAAAAGGGCACGCAACAAACCCGAAAGGCUGUCCUGGGAGCUUGCCAGGGCACCAGGUACCACCACACUACCCAGAUACGGUGCAGUUUCAGUGGUGGGUCCAAUAGUGAUACCCUUUUGGUGCUUUAUUGAUAGCUUAAGUGCCUAAUCAAAGGAUAGAGUGCCAUCUACUGAACCAGAUUUUUUUAUUCGGUUAUGACUUGGGACCCAGCCUGUAAAUGGAAAAAGAACAGAACUGGACUACUAAAUACAGCAUUUCAAGAUGAUGGGAGCCACUGGAUAAUCAAAGGAGGUGCUGGGAAAUUUAGCCAUUCUCAAAAACAGAUGCUAACAUCACUAGAUUCUCUGUGACCCCAGACUGGACUUGUGAUCGUCAUACAAGUCUUUUCCAUGUUUGACUUCAGAAGUAGGUAAAAAAGGAAAUCAGAACUGCACCCGAGAAUAAUAAACUUAAAUAAAAGACUUAAGACCUAAAGAAAAUAAUGUCCUUAAAAUCAUAUCCUGCGAGAGUCUGGAGUAUUUCAAUUACACGAGAGGCACACUGGUGCUGGAGGUACGGCUUCAGCAACUACAAUUCACACUGAAGUACCACAUCGUACAUUUCACCACGCUUGACAAAGCAUACAUCACUAUCAGAAGAUAAACCAGCAUGGCUGGGGAAGACUGUCAUGUCUCUCCUACCAAAGGUGGUGUUCUCUACAGCCAGAACUUCAUUAAAGGCCUUGGGAGUUUCCUCUUCAUUCUAA
Molecule: non-coding RNA, 939 nt
Organism: Phalacrocorax carbo (great cormorant)
Lineage: Eukaryota; Metazoa; Chordata; Aves; Suliformes; Phalacrocoracidae
Source: RefSeq, a predicted model, not a curated record